This 231-nucleotide ribosomal RNA is filed under the name uncultured Methanomicrobiales archaeon. RNAcentral's name for it is "partial 16S ribosomal RNA". It matches the Rfam family "Archaeal small subunit ribosomal RNA", at positions 1110 to 1338 of the family's 1478-position model. Lineage: Archaea; Methanobacteriati; Methanobacteriota; Methanomicrobia; Methanomicrobiales. The record is from RNAcentral.
UAGGCGUAAAGAGGAGGAAGGAAUGGGCAACGGUAGGUCAGCAUGCCCCGAAUUAUCUGGGCUACACGCGGGCUACAAUGGGUGGGACAAUGGGUAUCGACACCGAAAGGUGAAGGCAAUCUCCUAAACCCAUCCGUAGUUCGGAUUGUGGGCUGCAACUCGCCCACAUGAAGCUGGAAUCUGUAGUAAUCGUGUCUCAAAAUGGCACGGUGAAUAUGUCCCUGGCUCCUU